UCCCUGUGAGACCACCAGUGGCGAAGGCGUCUUACCAGAACGGGUCCGACGGUGAGGGACGAAAGCUGGGGGCACGAACCGGAUUAGAUACCCGGGUAGUCCCAGCUGUAAACGAUGCUCGUUAGGUGUCAGGAACGGUGCGACUGUUUCUGGUGCCGAAGGGAAGCCGUGAAACGAGCCACCUGGGAAGUACGGCCGCAAGGCUGAAACUUAAAGGAAUUGCCGGGGGAGCACUACAACGGGUGGAGCCUGCGGUUUAAUUGGACUCAACGCCGGAAAACUCACCGGGGGCGACAGCAAUAUGUAGGUCAGGUUAAAGGUCUUACCUGAAUCGCUGAGAGGAGGUGCAUGGCCGUCGUCAGUUCGUACUGUGAAGCAUCCUGUUAAGUCAGGCAACGAGCAAGACCCGUGCCCACUGUUACCAGCAUAUCCUUUAUGGAUGAUGGGGACUCUGUGGGGACCGCUGCUGCUAAAGCAGAGGAAGGUGCGGGCUACGGUAGGUCAGUAUGCCCCGAAUCUCCCGGGCUACACGCGGGCUACAAUGGUUGGGACAAUGGGUAUCUACUCCGAAAGGAGUUGGCAAUCUCUUAAACCCAAUCGUAGUUCGAAUUGAGGGCUGUAACUCGCCCUCAUGAAGCUGGAAUCCGUAGUAAUCGCGUUUCAACAUAGCGCGGU
This 675-nucleotide ribosomal RNA is filed under the name uncultured archaeon. RNAcentral describes it as "bacterial SSU rRNA". It matches the Rfam family "Archaeal small subunit ribosomal RNA", at positions 646 to 1319 of the family's 1478-position model. The record is from RNAcentral.